RNAcentral lists this ribosomal RNA (634 nucleotides) under Prionchulus cf. punctatus TSH-2005. Its description in RNAcentral is "SSU rRNA". It matches the Rfam family "Eukaryotic small subunit ribosomal RNA", at positions 1003 to 1664 of the family's 1831-position model. Lineage: Eukaryota; Metazoa; Nematoda; Enoplea; Mononchida; Mononchidae. The record is from RNAcentral.
GGCGAUCAGAUACCGCCCUAGUUCUAACCGUAAACGAUGCCAACUAGCGAUCCGUCGGUGUUAAAAUUUGACUCGACGGGCAGCUUCCGGGAAACCAAAGUUUUCUGGUUCCGGGGGAAGUAUGGUUGCAAAGCUUAAACUUAAAGGAAUUGACGGAAGGGCACCACCAGGAGUGGAGCCUGCGGCUUAAUUUGACUCAACACGGGGAAACUCACCCGGCCAGGACACAAUAAGGAUUGACAGAUUGAUAGCUCUUUCUUGAUUUUGUGGGUGGUGGUGCAUGGCCGUUCUUAGUUGGUGGAGCGAUUUGUCAGGUUAAUUCCGAUAACGAACGAGACUCUAGCCUAUUAAAUAGACAAUAUAUUAUUAGUAUAUCGAGCUUCUUAGAGGGACAGGCAGCGUCUAGCUGCACGAGAUUGAGCAAUAACAGGUCUGUGAUGCCCUUAGAUGUCCGGGGCUGCACGCGCGCUACAAUGAUAAUAGCAACGUGCAUUAAAACCUUUUCUGGUAAGAAUUGGUAAACACGAAAUAUUGUCGUGCUUGGGAUAGGGGAUUGAAAUUAUUGCCCUUAAACGAGGAAUUCCCAGUAAGUGCGAGUCAUCAGCUCGCGUUGAUUACGUCCCUGCCCUUUGUA